This is a non-coding RNA of Morone saxatilis (striped sea-bass), 83 nucleotides long. Lineage: Eukaryota; Metazoa; Chordata; Actinopteri; Moronidae. The record is from the annotation of a RefSeq genome assembly.
UCACGGGUGGCCGAGGGGAGGUUAAGGCGUUGGACUCGAAAUCCAAUGGGUUUCCCGCACAGGUUCGAAUCCUUUUUCGUGAC